Small nuclear RNA from Bos indicus x Bos taurus (hybrid cattle), 106 nucleotides. The record is from Ensembl. Lineage: Eukaryota; Metazoa; Chordata; Mammalia; Artiodactyla; Bovidae.
AUGCUUGCUAUGGCAGCAUAAAUACUAAAAUUCAAGCCUACAGAGGAAAUUAGCAUAGCCCCUGUGUAAGGAUGACGUGAAGAUUCAUGAAGCAUUCCAUAUUUUU